AACAUUAUACCGAUGUUUUCAUAUUUUCGCAGAUUACUAUAGACGCAUCUAUUCAGUUUCCGAAUAUGAAUAGCUCGUUACCGGAGAUUUCGAGAAAGCUUUUCAUAUUUGCAUCUCGACUCAAAAUCGUUCAUUAGACGUGAACGUGCUGAUAAAAGAAUUCAACGAUUUGAAGCGAAGUAGCAUUGAAGAGCAGGCCAUUGCAGAAGUACAGCAACAGCUUCUCGCACUCAAACUCCUUCCUCACUUGCUUAAAGUAAACCACAAACGGAAAGGAAAAUCCGAUGCUAAAGUAUCAUUGUACUCAUCUUAUAAGUCUAUCGCUGAAGCAACGAAAAACGACGGAAGUUCUAAUGAUGCCCUUCCAUAUUUAAAUCUGAUCGAGGAAACAUCGAUCCCUCAAGCACAGCUAGUAAUUGCUGGUAGAAAGUUUUUCAUCGAUGACCCACUAAUAGCAUUCGACGUUCUGUUCAAAUCGUUUUGGCGUUAUCGCUGAAUUAUCCAGAUAAGUGCCAACACCUCUGGUUAUUCGUUCAAAAGUCAAUUUACAAUGUGCAUAAGAGUACCGAUCUAAAACUAUCCAAUGUUACAACAUUUAUUCGGGAUAUUUCGAACUUGUCAAACGAUUAGCAUUGAAAUGAUUCUAGUAGUGUUGAAGGAGCAAGUGACUGGCUGUAGAAUUUGGAUGAUAAUUUUUUCUUUUUUUUUUUGUUUUCUUCCCGGUACAAGAGACCUUCCUGUUAUGUAAAC
This is a long non-coding RNA of Bradysia coprophila, 750 nucleotides long. The record is from RefSeq and is a predicted model, not a curated record. Lineage: Eukaryota; Metazoa; Arthropoda; Insecta; Diptera; Sciaridae.